GUUUUCGUGAGCUUGGGUAAGAGGAGUUUACCUACUGUGGGUGUAAGAGCUCACUUUUUGCCAUGAUUGUGACCACAUCACGUGCAAAAAAGUUGAUCAAUAGUGGUUGUGUGGCUUAUUUAGCGACGGUGGUAGAGAGUUGUAAGGAGAUUUCAGUGCUCGGGGACAUUCCUGUGGUCCGAAAGUUUUCGAAUGUAUUUCCUACAGAGUUGUCGGGAAUACUGCCGGACUGGGAGAUCG
RNAcentral lists this long non-coding RNA (240 nucleotides) under Ananas comosus (pineapple). RNAcentral's name for it is "long non-coding RNA (ACOM_LNC020146)". Lineage: Eukaryota; Viridiplantae; Streptophyta; Magnoliopsida; Poales; Bromeliaceae. The record is from RNAcentral.